Molecule: long non-coding RNA, 527 nt
Organism: Diceros bicornis minor
Lineage: Eukaryota; Metazoa; Chordata; Mammalia; Perissodactyla; Rhinocerotidae
Exons: 2
Source: RefSeq, a predicted model, not a curated record
UUUGGAUGAUACCAGAAGUUAAUAACCUAUUAAAUUCUGCAGUAGGAACAAAUGACAUGUUGGUUAUUGGUGUCUUUGAAGUCACACGUGUGGAGGACUCCCUAGAAUGGACACCUGCCUCUGAGUGGAUUGCUGGGCCAGAGGCUGACGUGCAUCUGAAACUUGACGAGCUGCAGCCAAAUCAUCCUCUGAAGUUUUAACAAUUUCCAUUCCCGCCAACAGUGUCUGAGUCAUCCUUGCCCUGGGAAUUGUCAGGUCAGCAUUGUCAGAUUUUUAAAGUUUUGCCAAUCUGAUGAGUGAGAAAUGAUGUAUUUGUUUUCCUCUUUGUACAACUGUUUUGACAAAUUCAUAGAGCUGUGCAACUACCAAAAUUGAGAUACAGAACAGUUCCAGCACCCAGAACUCCCUUCAGCUGCUCUUUUGUAGUCAUCUCUUCCCCCACCCUUAACCCCUGGUGACUAAUGAUUUGUUGUCUUUCCCUAUGGUUUGUCUUUUCUAGAAUAUCAUAUAAAUGGAAUCCUACAGUA